AUUGAACGCUGGCGGCAUGCCUUACACAUGCAAGUCGAACGGCAGCACGGGUGCUUGCACCUGGUGGCGAGUGGCGAACGGGUGAGUAAUACAUCGGAACGUACCUUAUCGUGGGGGAUAACGCAGCGAAAGCUGUGCUAAUACCGCAUACGCCCUGAGGGGGAAAGCGGGGGAUCGCAAGACCUCGCGCGAUUAGAGCGGCCGAUGCCUGAUUAGCUUGUUGGUGGGGUAAAAGCCCACCAAGGCGACGUUCAGUAGCUGGUCUGAGAGGACGAUCAGCCACACUGGGACUGGGACACGGCCCAGACUCAUACGGGAGGCAGCAGUGGGGAAUUUUGGACAAUGGGGGCAACCCUGAUCCAGCAAUGCCGCGUGAGUGAAGAAGGCCUUCGGGUUGUAAAGCUCUUUUGUCAGGGAAGAAACACCGGCUCUAACACAGUCCGGGAAUGACGGUACCUGAAGAAUAAGCACCGGCUAACUACGUGCCAGCCGCCGCCGUAA
This 501-nucleotide ribosomal RNA is filed under the name uncultured bacterium. Its description in RNAcentral is "partial 16S ribosomal RNA". It matches the Rfam family "Bacterial small subunit ribosomal RNA", at positions 30 to 523 of the family's 1533-position model. The record is from RNAcentral.